Molecule: ribosomal RNA, 492 nt
Filed under: uncultured bacterium
Lineage: Bacteria
Description: partial 16S ribosomal RNA
Rfam family: Bacterial small subunit ribosomal RNA
Source: RNAcentral
GAUUAACGCUAGCUACAGGCUUAACACAUGCAAGUCGAGGGGAAACGACAUCGAAAGCUUGCUUUUGAUGGGCGUCGACCGGCGCACGGGUGAGUAACGCGUAUCCAACCUGCCCAUCACUUGGGAAUAACCUUGCGAAAGUAAGACUAAUACCCAAUGACAUCCCACGAAGACAUCUGAAUGGGAUUAAAGAUUUAUCGGUGAUGGAUGGGGAUGCGUCUGAUUAGCUUGUUGGCGGGGUAACGGCCCACCAAGGCAACGAUCAGUAGGGGUUCUGAGAGGAAGGUCCCCCACAUUGGAACUGAGACACGGUCCAAACUCCUACGGGAGGCAGCAGUGAGGAAUAUUGGUCAAUGGGCGAGAGCCUGAACCAGCCAAGUAGCGUGCAGGAUGACGGCCCUAUGGGUUGUAAACUGCUUUUAUAAGGGAAUAAAGUGGGUCUCGUGAGACUUUUUGCAUGUACCUUAUGAAUAAGGACCGGCUAAUUCCGUG